GACGAACGCUGGCGGCGUGCUUAACACAUGCAAGUCGAGCGAGGCCCCUCCUUCGGGAGGGUGUCCUAGCGGCGAACGGGUGAGUAACACGUGGGCAACCUGCCCUCAGCUCUGGGAUAACUCCGGGAAACCGGGGCUAAUACCGGAUACGUCCUCCACGGGCAUCUGCGGAGGUGGAAAGUUUUUCGGCUGAGGAUGGGCCCGCGGCCUAUCAGCUAGUUGGUGGGGUAGUGGCCCACCAAGGCGACGACGGGUAGCCGGCCUGAGAGGGCGACCGGCCACACUGGGACUGAGACACGGCCCAGACUCCUACGGGAGGCAGCAGUGGGGAAUAUUGCGCAAUGGGCGAAAGCCUGACGCAGCGACGCCGCGUGAGGGACGAAGGCCUUCGGGUUGUAAACCUCUUUCAGCAGGGACGAAGCGAAAGUGACGGUACCUGCAGAAGAAGCACCGGCCAACUACGUG
Molecule: ribosomal RNA, 465 nt
Filed under: uncultured bacterium
Lineage: Bacteria
Description: partial 16S ribosomal RNA
Rfam family: Bacterial small subunit ribosomal RNA
Source: RNAcentral